This 497-nucleotide ribosomal RNA is filed under the name uncultured bacterium. RNAcentral describes it as "partial 16S ribosomal RNA". It matches the Rfam family "Bacterial small subunit ribosomal RNA", at positions 36 to 507 of the family's 1533-position model. The record is from RNAcentral.
UCUUCCCUCUGGCGGCGUGCCUAAUACAUGCAAGUCGAGCGAACGGACGAGAAGCUUGCUUCUCUGAUGUUAGCGGCGGACGGGUGAGUAACACGUGGAUAACCUACCUAUAAGACUGGGAUAACUUCGGGAAACCGUAGCUAAUACCGGAUAAUAUUUUGAACCGCAUGGUUCAAAGGUGAAAGACGGUCUUGCUGUCACUUAUAGAUGGAUCCGCGCUGCAUUAGCUAGUUGGUAAGGUAACGGCUUACCAAGGCAACGAUGCAUAGCCGACCUGAGAGGGUGAUCGGCCACACUGGAACUGAGACACGGUCCAGACUCCUACGGGAGGCAGCAGUAGGGAAUCUUCCGCAAUGGGCGAAAGCCUGACGGAGCAACGCCGCGUGAGUGAUGAAGGUCUUCGGAUCGUAAAACUCUGUUAUUAGGGAAGAACAUAUGUGUAAGUAACUGUGCACAUCUUGACGGUACCUAAUCAGAAAGCCACGGCUAACUACGUG